Molecule: ribosomal RNA, 497 nt
Filed under: uncultured bacterium
Lineage: Bacteria
Description: partial 16S ribosomal RNA
Rfam family: Bacterial small subunit ribosomal RNA
Source: RNAcentral
GACGAACGCUGGCGGCGUGCCUAAUACAUGCAAGUUGAGCGAUGGAGAUUGGUGCUUGCACCAAUUUGAAGAGCAGCGGACGGGUGAGUAACGCGUGGGGAAUCUGCCUUUGAGCGGGGGACAACAUUGGGAAACGAAUGCUAAUACCGCAUAACAACUUUAAACAUAAGUUUUAAGUUUGAAAGAUGCACUUGCAUCACUCAAAGAUGAUCCCGCGGCUGAUUAACUUGUUGGUGAGGGAAAGGCUCAACCAGGCGAUGAUACAUAGCCGACCUGAGAGGGUGGUCGGGCACAAUGGGACUGGGACACGGGCCCAACUCCUACGGGGAGCAGCAGUAGGGGAACUUCGGGAAUGGACGAAAGGCUGGACGAGCAACGCCGCGUGAGUGAAGGAGGGUUUCGGAUCGUAAAACUCUGUUGGUAGGGAAGAACGUUGGUGGGAGUGGAAAGCUCAUCAAGUGACGGUAACUAACCAGAAAGGGACGGCUAACUACGUG